GGGCCAGUGGCGCAGUUGGGAGCGCGUCUCAAUGGCAUUGAGAAGGUCAGGGGUUCAAGUCCCCUCUGGUCCA
RNAcentral lists this transfer RNA (73 nucleotides) under Pseudomonadota bacterium. RNAcentral's name for it is "tRNA-Ala". It matches the Rfam family "tRNA". Rfam says of the family: Transfer RNA (tRNA) molecules are approximately 80 nucleotides in length. Their secondary structure includes four short double-helical elements and three loops (D, anti-codon, and T loops). RNAcentral also lists the same sequence under 6 other names. Lineage: Bacteria; Pseudomonadati; Pseudomonadota. The record is from RNAcentral.